AUUGAACGCUGGCGGCAGGCCUAACACAUGCAAGCCGAGCGGAUGACGGGAGCUUGCUCCUUGAUUCAGCGGCGGACGGGUGAGUAAUGCCUAGGAAUCUGCCUGGUAGUGGGGGACAACGUUGCGAAAGGAACGCUAAUACCGCAUACGCCCUACGGGAGAAAGCGGGGGACCUUGGGGCCUGGCGCUAUACGAUGAGCCUGGGUCGGAUUAGCGAGUUGGUGGGGUAAUGGCUCACCAAGGCGACGAUCCGAAACUGGUCUGAGAGGAUGAUCAGUCACACUGGGACUGAGACACGGUCCAGACUCCUACGGGAGGCAGCAGUGGGGAAUAUUGGACAAUGGGCGAAAGCCUGAUCCAGCCAUGCCGCGUGUGUGAAGAAGGUCUUCGGAUUGUAAAGCACUUUAAGUUGGGAGGAAGGGCAGUAAGCUAAUACCUUGCUGUUUUGACGUUACCGACAGAAUAAGCACCGGCUAACUCUGUGCCAGCCGCCGCCGUAA
RNAcentral lists this ribosomal RNA (500 nucleotides) under uncultured bacterium. Its description in RNAcentral is "partial 16S ribosomal RNA". It matches the Rfam family "Bacterial small subunit ribosomal RNA", at positions 30 to 523 of the family's 1533-position model. The record is from RNAcentral.